UUAUAUUAUAGUGAUGUUUCUCGUUUCGUAUAUAUGUUUCAUACCAAUUUUUAACUUCCAUGACAACGUACGGGCAUAUACCUAUAAAUUUAUUAUAAAAGAGAUUCAAAGAUCUAUCUAACCAUAUUAAUGUUCUCUUAAACUUUGGUAAGCUUACGUACUUUUGCUAUGGAUCCUUUUGAAUCAAUUACAAGGUAAUUCAUUUAAAAACCGUAGUAACACACGUGUACCUAAAUAUCAUAUAUAAAAGUUUGCAUGGUACUGAUGAUUACAAUGUAGUGGUGAAAUAACCAGAUUAAAAUAACAAAAAUUAUGUAUGGAUAUGAUCACAAAUGUAUUAAGAAAUCUUUUCUCAUAACAGUACCAUGGUAUUAUGUGUUCCCGUUGCAACGCACGGGCACUGACCUAGUUAUCUUAUAUGAACCGAACUCAUAUGUACUAUGGGUUGAAUUUAUAUUAAAACUCGGGGUUUAGUUUGUGAAAAACAAGACUUAAAUUUAAUUUUCUUACUACCAGAUAGGACAUCGGGUUGAAUUCAUAUAAACGUGAGGUCUCUAAGGGAUAUGGACUCAUGCUGACCGCCUGAUCUAAACAUGACGGCUCAGAUUUUUCUGCUAUCCUAUGUGAACCGGUACUCAACGCGAGCCGCCGGAUCUCAAAUCCUUGGCCCAAAACGUGUCCACGUUACAGGAAUGCACUAGCCCUCGGGUCGUUGAUCGACGGCCCAUAUUUAAUUUUCCCAAUUGGUGUCUAGCAUUUAAUCUCGUUCGACUAUCAGGGAACCAACGGUCAGGGGCCGUCUUCAACCCCUAGAACACAGACGCGGUGGCGCCCUUGGUUGACACGGUGGCGCCAUCACCGAAGCCCCCAAGCCCCUGGUCCCGAAAACGAUCCUUCAAUCCGUAAGCAACUACACAUAGCAGAGAGAAAAACGAAGUGAUGGGGAGCGCUCUUACCCGAGAUAGUCACGUGUAACGUCUCGGCCAUGGCGGCGUGUGGCUCUCGGAGUCCGGUGAGAGCAUGCCCGUGAUCCGAAACUUCCCCCACGCUCAGCAGUGCCCCAGACUUGUGUGGCACGAUCCCAUGAAACUUCCAGGCCCGGACGCCCGGUACCGAGGCCUCGUCAUUGGUAUAUCCAUAGAAUCAUGCCGGCGACUAGCUUGUCCCCCUUUCCCUCUUAGACAUGUUUGUUCUCAUGAUUUUCUGUGUUGGUGCUGCGUUGGACGAGGAGGAAAGGGCGGGCGACGACCGGAAUUUAUAC
RNAcentral lists this long non-coding RNA (1261 nucleotides) under Zea mays. Its description in RNAcentral is "long non-coding RNA (ZMAY_LNC000537)". Lineage: Eukaryota; Viridiplantae; Streptophyta; Magnoliopsida; Poales; Poaceae. The record is from RNAcentral.